This 497-nucleotide ribosomal RNA is filed under the name uncultured bacterium. RNAcentral's name for it is "partial 16S ribosomal RNA". It matches the Rfam family "Bacterial small subunit ribosomal RNA", at positions 28 to 507 of the family's 1533-position model. The record is from RNAcentral.
GAUGAACGCUGGCGGCGUGCCUAAUACAUGCAAGUCGAGCGAACGGACGAGAAGCUUGCUUCUCUGGUGUUAGCGGCGGACGGGUGAGUAACACGUGGAUAACCUACCUAUAAGACUGGGAUAACUUCGGGAAACCGUAGCUAAUACCGGAUAAUAUUUUGAACCGCAUGGUUCAAAAGUGAAAGACGGUCUUGCUGUCACUUAUAGAUGGAUCCGCGCUGCAUUAGCUAGUUGGUAAGGUAACGGCUUACCAAGGCAACGAUGCAUAGCCGACCUGAGAGGGUGAUCGGCCACACUGGAACUGAGACACGGUCCAGACUCCUACGGGAGGCAGCAGUAGGGAAUCUUCCGCAAUGGGCGAAAGCCUGACGGAGCAACGCCGCGUGAGUGAUGAAGGUCUUCGGAUCGUAAAACUCUGUUAUUAGGGAAGAACAUAUGUGUAAGUAACUGUGCACAUCUUGACGGUACCUAAUCAGAAAGCCACGGCUAACUACGUG